RNAcentral lists this ribosomal RNA (440 nucleotides) under uncultured bacterium. RNAcentral's name for it is "partial 16S ribosomal RNA". It matches the Rfam family "Bacterial small subunit ribosomal RNA", at positions 338 to 795 of the family's 1533-position model. The record is from RNAcentral.
CCUACGGGAGACAGCAGUGGGGAAUAUUGCACAAUGGGGGAAACUCUGAUGCAGCGACGCCGCGUGAAGGAAGAAGGAUUUCGGUAUGUAAACUUCUAUCAGCAGGGAAGAAAAAGACGGUACCUGACUAAGAAGCCCCGGCUAACUACGUGCCAGCAGCCGAGGGAUUACGUAGGGGCCAAGCGUUAUCCGGAUUUAAUGGGUGUAAAGGGGGCGUAGGCGGUGAUGCAAGUCAGAAGUGAAAGCCCGCGGCUCAACCCCGGGAGUGCUUUUGAAACUGAGUUGCUGGAUUGCAGGAGAGGAGAGUGGAAUUCCUAGUGUAGCGGUGAAAUGCGUAGAUAUUAGGAGGAACACCAGUGGCGAAGGCGGCUUUCUGGACUGUAAAUGACGCUGAGGCUCGAAAGCGUGGGGAGCAAACAGGAUUAGAUACCCCAGUAGUC